Molecule: ribosomal RNA, 253 nt
Filed under: uncultured bacterium
Lineage: Bacteria
Description: partial 16S ribosomal RNA
Rfam family: Bacterial small subunit ribosomal RNA
Source: RNAcentral
UACGUAGGGGGCAAGCGUUGUCCGGAUUCAUUGGGCGUAAAGCGCGCGCAGGCGGUCCUUUAAGUCUGAUGUGAAAGCCCACGGCUCAACCGUGGAGGGUCAUUGGAAACUGGGGGACUUGAGUGCAGAAGAGGAGAGUGGAAUUCCACGUGUAGCGGUGAAAUGCGUAGAGAUGUGGAGGAACACCAGUGGCGAAGGCGACUCUCUGGUCUGUAACUGACGCUGAGGCGCGAAAGCGUGGGGAGCAAACAGG